Molecule: long non-coding RNA, 659 nt
Filed under: Rattus norvegicus (Norway rat)
Lineage: Eukaryota; Metazoa; Chordata; Mammalia; Rodentia; Muridae
Description: long non-coding RNA NONRATT029316
Source: RNAcentral
GGCGGCUUUCAACGAUAAGGGAAAAAGACAUCAGACCUCUCGUUCCUUAAGAAACUCUUAGUUCUCUGUAGGUGCGGCAUGCUCCUGAGUCUGUAGAUGAGGUGCCUAGCUGUGUUACUGUGAGACCUAAGUGCCAGGUAGAGCAAAACCCUGUGGUGGGUGUGAGGCAAACGUAGCAGGUGCACACACUUCCACAGCUACCUCUCUGCAUACACAGUCACCGACAGCCGGGCCCCGCCCCUCCCCUCCUCACUUAGAAUCACUUCUUGCAGAGGGUCAUAAUUAUUUCCAAAUAUUACUGUUCUGAUGACUUCCUCCUCCUAGUGCAAUUUUUCACUUCUUCCAACCUCUGGUUCCUGGGCAGAGCCAUACCCUGGAACUGGCCUGGUCUGCGUGUCUUCCCAGCAGGGGAGGACUCCACAGACGGCGUCCAAGUGGGUAGGCAAGUCACAGCCGCCAUAGCAGAUGACUCCUAUUUAUUUUGCAUUAAGAUUUUAAUUUGUAUAUUUUUGUGAUUUAUUUUGGCAUUGUUAUGAGUUUGACUCUCGGGGAGUUUUGUUGUUAUGACUCUUGUGUCUUUUGUCACAAAACAAUGAUAAUAUUUGCUAAACAAUAUAUGGAAUUUAUUUUUGAUUGGUAAUAAAAAAUGAAAUGCACAU